UACGGAGGGUGCAAGCGUUGUCCGGAUUUAUUGGGUUUAAAGGGUGCGUAGGCGGCCUUUUAAGUUAGUGGUGAAAGCCCGGGGCUCAACCCCGGAACCGCCAUUGAUACUGGAAGGCUUGAGUACAGACGAGGUAGGCGGAAUUGAGGGUGUAGCGGUGAAAUGCUUAGAUACCCUCAAGAACACCGAUUGCGUAGGCAGCUUACUAGGCUGUAACUGACGCUGAGGCACGAAAGCGUGGGGAGCGAACAGG
RNAcentral lists this ribosomal RNA (253 nucleotides) under uncultured Adhaeribacter sp. RNAcentral's name for it is "partial 16S ribosomal RNA". It matches the Rfam family "Bacterial small subunit ribosomal RNA", at positions 524 to 776 of the family's 1533-position model. The record is from RNAcentral. Lineage: Bacteria; Pseudomonadati; Bacteroidota; Cytophagia; Cytophagales; Hymenobacteraceae.